This 1772-nucleotide unclassified non-coding RNA is filed under the name Daphnia pulex (common water flea). Its description in RNAcentral is "ras-like GTP-binding protein RhoL, transcript variant X1". The record is from RNAcentral. Lineage: Eukaryota; Metazoa; Arthropoda; Branchiopoda; Diplostraca; Daphniidae.
GUGCAUGGGAAGUAAACAACUCACUUGGAAACCGUGUUAUCGUUACGGCAUAUAGUGAAUUUGAAAGCAAUUAACUCUUUCAUAAUACGCUAUUUAUAUAUUUAAUUCAUCGUGUCCGCAGCUUGAAGUGAAAGUACAUACGGAUACAAAAACAACCCAACCGGAACUUGUAUGUUGAAAGUCGUCUGAUUUAAUAGCAACUCGGCAUCGCACACUAAUAUGAAUCGAGAUCGCCUUUUGAAGGUAGUUGUCGUGGGUGAUAAUGAAGUGGGGAAAAAUUGCAUUUUCACCAAGUUCAAGGAGAGUUUCAGAAAAAUACCUCUAGAGCAUGAGCCAACUUCAUUUGAUAAUUUUUCAAAAUUAAUUGAAGUGGAUGGGAUUAUUUACCAUUUAUCUGUAUCGUACACUACCAACUCCACAGGCUGCGACGAGUUGCGCAUUCUCUCCUAUCCCAAUACGGACGUGUUUCUGCUUUGUUACGCGAUUGAUAAUCGACAGUCUUUUGAAAAUAUCUCAUCAAAAUGGAUUCCCGAGUUGAAGCUUCAUAGUCCUCACACGCCAAUCGUUCUAGUCGGUAUGUGUAACAACAUCAAAACGAGCCCUAUGUGAUUGAAUAAUUAUUCACUCCAAUAUUUAUAGCAACAAAGAAAGAUAAGCGGAACAAAAAAGAUGCCGAUGCAAACUAUGUCUCCUACGCCGAAGGGGCAGCAAUCAGCAAAUACAUGAGCGCUUUUGUCGAGUGCUCGGUCAAGACGGGAGAGAAUUUAAGAGCGGUCUUCCGAGAGGCUGUUCGGGUGGCACUAGAUAAACCCAAGGUUACAUUAAUUAAGUGUAGUCUUCUAUAAUAACAAAGAACAAAUGACUACUAUCACACUGAUAGACCCAGUUUUUUCUAAAAAGGUAAUCAAUGAGCUUGAUUGCUCAAAGAGGUUUUCGUCAGUUUCAGACGAUAAUACCGGUUUAAUACUAGAAUCACCAAAUUGCCUGUUUAAUUGUUUCGAUUUGCGUAAUCGCUUACCGUAUACGCUUAUUGACAUUUCUUUCGUUGAAAUAAUAUCGUACAAGCCCUGCUGUACAAUUUAAUAAAAGUUUACAGUUUGCGCGUCUAUAACUCUGUAUUCUACAAACUGCUUGUUUAAAAGUAUUUCAGUACCUAUACAUUUAACGGCCCAAAAUUUGAAAUUGAUACAAUGACAGUCCCAAUAUUUUCCCCUUCAAACGCUAAGAAUCAAUUUGUAGCAGAUGUUGCGGUUUGGUCGGUGCUCGGCGGUUUAGUAAGUAUGGCGUUGAGCGGACGGAUAAAAUGGAAACCCAAACCUUCGAAAAACUUGGUGGAAGCCGUGUUGCCGACGACAAUGUUGACGAACGGGAGAAAGCCGGACUGGGCCAUUCGCUUGGACAUGUAAAGUGUCACCACACUCUCGUCCUUUUUCGGGCUACAUAUUUGUAGCUUUUUCCCAUUUCCCCUCCGUUUCAAAACUUCAUAGAAAUAAAUAGCACGAUUUUGUAUUGAGCGAUAUAUUAAUAAUUCUGGUUUGCUAUAUAGAUGAUAACUUGGAAGUUUGUGGAUGACAACCGGAAGUGUGUAUAUCCGCCCACAUACACUCGGUGCUGCUGUAUAGAGAGUCCCAUACUUUACACAUCAGCGGCGAAAAGCUACACUGAUGGAGAAAAGAGAGAAAGAAAAGAGCAGAGAGAAACUUGAUCUUUAUUACACCGAUGCUGCUGCUGCUGAUACUGGGUCGUUGCAUUUUUCACUAACCUACGUCUCA